GACGAACGCUGGCGGCGUGCUUAACACAUGCAAGUCGAGCGGUAAGGUUAUUUCGGGGGUACAUGCACGGUGAACGGGGGAGUAACACGUGGGUGACCAGCCCUCAGUAACGUGAUAAGCCUCGGAAACUAGGUCUAAUACAGGAUAGGUCCUUUCGCCGCAUGGUGAUUGUUGGAAAGUUUUUUCGGGUGGGGAGGGGACGGCCGCCUACCAGCUUGUUGGUGGGUGGAUGGCCUAUCAAGGGGACGACGGGCAGCCGGCGUGGGAGAGCGACCGGCCACUCUGAGGCUGGGACGCGGGACAGACUCCUACGGGAGGGAGGAGAGGGGGACAUUGCGAAAGGGGCGGAAGCCAGACGCAGCGAGGCCGCGUGGGGUAUGACGGCCGUCGGGUUGGGAAGCUCUUGUGGCCCGGACACAUUGUGACGGUAGCGGAAGAAGAAGCACCGGCUAACUACGUG
Molecule: ribosomal RNA, 460 nt
Filed under: uncultured bacterium
Lineage: Bacteria
Description: partial 16S ribosomal RNA
Rfam family: Bacterial small subunit ribosomal RNA
Source: RNAcentral